GUAGGUGAACCUGCGGAGGGAUCAUUACCGAGUGAGGGCCCUCGCGCCCGACCUCCAACCCUUUGUCGAUUCAUAUCUGUUGCCUCGGGGGGCGACCCGGCCGUCCGCGGACGGGGGUCCCCCAGAGGACCAACCAACCCUGCAUCUUUGCGUCGAGUAUUGAAUACAAAUCAAUCAAAACUUUUAACAACGGAUCUCUUGGUUCUG
Molecule: unclassified non-coding RNA, 207 nt
Filed under: rhizosphere metagenome
Description: partial ribosomal RNA internal transcribed spacer region
Source: RNAcentral